This 908-nucleotide ribosomal RNA is filed under the name uncultured Actinomycetes bacterium. RNAcentral's name for it is "bacterial SSU rRNA". It matches the Rfam family "Bacterial small subunit ribosomal RNA", at positions 56 to 974 of the family's 1533-position model. Lineage: Bacteria; Bacillati; Actinomycetota; Actinomycetes. The record is from RNAcentral.
UGCAAGUCGAACGGAAAGGCCCAAGCUUGCUUGGGUACUCGAGUGGCGAACGGGUGAGUAACACGUGGGUGAUCUGCCCCGCACUUCGGGAUAAGCCUGGGAAACUGGGUCUAAUACCGGAUAGGACCACUUCUUGGAGGUUGUGGUGGAAAGUUUUUUCGGUGUGGGAUGAGCUCGCGGCCUAUCAGCUUGUUGGUGGGGUAAUGGCCUACCAAGGCGUCGACGGGUAGCCGGCCUGAGAGGGUGUACGGCCACAUUGGGACUGAGAUACGGCCCAGACUCCUACGGGAGGCAGCAGUGGGGAAUAUUGCACAAUGGGCGCAAGCCUGAUGCAGCGACGCCGCGUGGGGGAUGACGGCCUUCGGGUCGUAAACUCCUUUCGCUAGGGACGAAGCGUUAUGUGACGGUACCUAGAGAAGAAGCACCGGCUAACUACGUGCCAGCAGCCGCGGUAAUACGUAGGGUGCGAGCGUUGUCCGGAAUUACUGGGCGUAAAGAGCUCGUAGGUGGUUUGUCGCGUCGUUUGUGUAAGCCCGCAGCUUAACUGCGGGACUGCAGGCGAUACGGGCAUAACUUGAGUGCUGUAGGGGAGACUGGAAUUCCUGGUGUAGCGGUGGAAUGCGCAGAUAUCAGGAGGAACACCGAUGGCGAAGGCAGGUCUCUGGGCAGUAACUAACGCUGAGGAGCGAAAGCAUGGGGAGCGAACAGGAUUAGAUACCCCGGUAGUCCAUGCCGUAAACGGUGGGCGCUAGGUGUGAGUCCCUUCCACGGGGUUCGUGCCGUAGCUAACGCAUUAAGCGCCCCGCCUGGGGAGUACGGCCGCAAGGCUAAAACUCAAAGGAAUUGACGGGGGCCCGCACAAGCGGCGGAGCAUGUGGAUUAAUUCGAUGCAACGCGAAGAACCUUAC